Molecule: ribosomal RNA, 849 nt
Filed under: uncultured bacterium
Lineage: Bacteria
Description: bacterial SSU rRNA
Rfam family: Bacterial small subunit ribosomal RNA
Source: RNAcentral
AUUGAACGCUGGCGGCAUGCCUAACACAUGCAAGUCGAACGGAAACGAUGCUAGCUUGCUAGCAGGCGUCGAGUGGCGGACGGGUGAGUAAUGUAUAGGGAUCUGCCUAGUAGUGGGGGACAACAUGUGGAAACGCAUGCUAAUACCGCAUACGCUCUACGGAGGAAAGUGGGGGACCUUUCGGGGCCUCAUGCUACUAGAUGAACCUAUAUUGGAUUAGCUUGUUGGUAAGGUAAUGGCUUACCAAGGCGACGAUCCAUAGCUGGUUUGAGAGAAUGAUCAGCCACACUGGGACUGAGACACGGCCCAGACUCCUACGGGAGGCAGCAGUGGGGAAUAUUGCACAAUGGACGAAAGUCUGAUGCAGCAAUGCCGCGUGUGUGAAGAAGGCCUUAGGGUUGUAAAGCACUUUCAGACGUGAGGAAAAGUAAUAAUUUAAUAAAUUAUUACCUUGACGUUAACGUCAGAAGAAGGACCGGCUAACUCCGUGCCAGCAGCCGCGGUAAUACGGAGGGUCCAAGCGUUAAUUGGAAUUACUGGGCGUAAAGCGCGCGUAGGCGGAUAUUUAAGUCAGAUGUGAAAUCCCUGGGCUCAACCUAGGAACUGCAUUUGAUACUGGAUAUCUAGAGUAUGGUAGAGGUGAGUGGAAUUUCAGGUGUAGCGGUGAAAUGCGUAGAGAUCUGAAGGAACAUCAGUGGCGAAAGCGACUCACUGGGCCAUUACUGACGCUGAGGUGCGAAAGCGUGGGUAGCAAACAGGAUUAGAUACCCUGGUAGUCCACGCCCUAAACGAUGUCAACUAGGUGUAUGGGAGUUUAACUCCUGUGUAUCGAAGCUAACGCGAUAAGUU